Molecule: ribosomal RNA, 472 nt
Filed under: uncultured bacterium
Lineage: Bacteria
Description: bacterial SSU rRNA
Rfam family: Bacterial small subunit ribosomal RNA
Source: RNAcentral
CUCUGUGACUCCUACGGGAGGCAGCAGUGGGGAAUAUUGCACAAUGGGCGCAAGCCUGAUGCAGCCAUGCCGCGUGUGUGAAGAAGGCCUUCGGGUUGUAAAGCACUUUCAGUUGUGAGGAAGGUGGUGUCGUUAAUAGCGGCAUCAUUUGACGUUAGCAACAGAAGAAGCACCGGCUAACUCCGUGCCAGCAGCCGCGGUAAUACGGAGGGUGCGAGCGUUAAUCGGAAUUACUGGGCGUAAAGCGCAUGCAGGUGGUUUGUUAAGUCAGAUGUGAAAGCCCGGGGCUCAACCUCGGAACUGCAUUUGAAACUGGCAGACUAGAGUACUGUAGAGGGGGUAGAAUUUCAGGUGUAGCGGUGAAAUGCGUAGAGAUCUGAAGGAAUACCGGUGGCGAAGGCGGCCCCCUGGACAGAUACUGACACUCAGAUGCGAAAGCGUGGGGAGCAAACAGGAUUAGAUACCCUGGUGA